Molecule: ribosomal RNA, 431 nt
Filed under: uncultured bacterium
Lineage: Bacteria
Description: partial 16S ribosomal RNA
Rfam family: Bacterial small subunit ribosomal RNA
Source: RNAcentral
CGAACGCUGGCGGCAGGCCUAACACAUGCACGUCGAACGAAGUCUUCGGACUUAGUGGCGCACGGGUGAGUAACACGUGGGAAUAUACCUUACGCUGGGGGAUAACAUCGGGAAACUGAUGCUAAUACCGCAUACGCCCUUCGGGGGAAAGAUUUAUCGGCGAAAGAUUAGCCCGCGUCCGAUUAGCUAGUUGGUGAGGUAAUGGCUCACCAAGGCUCCGAUCGGUAGCUGGUCUGAGAGGAUGACCAGCCACACUGGGACUGAGACACGGCCCAGACUCCUACGGGAGGCAGCAGUGGGGAAUAUUGGACAAUGGGCGCAAGCCUGAUCCAGCCAUGCCGCGUGAGUGAUGAAGGCCUUAGGGUUGUAAAGCUCUUUCACCCACGACGAUGAUGACGGUAGUGGGAGAAGAAGCCCCGGCUAACUUCGUG